Long non-coding RNA from Lynx canadensis (Canada lynx), 86 nucleotides. RefSeq lists it as uncharacterized. Lineage: Eukaryota; Metazoa; Chordata; Mammalia; Carnivora; Felidae. The transcript is spliced from 3 exons. The record is from RefSeq and is a predicted model, not a curated record.
UAUUAUGGUAAGCGAAACUGGUCAGAGAAAGACAAAUAUCAUAUGAUGUCACUCAUAUGAGGACUUUAAGAUACAGAACAGAUGAA